RNAcentral lists this ribosomal RNA (699 nucleotides) under Propionibacterium sp. PRIST7. Its description in RNAcentral is "bacterial SSU rRNA". It matches the Rfam family "Bacterial small subunit ribosomal RNA", at positions 40 to 752 of the family's 1533-position model. The record is from RNAcentral. Lineage: Bacteria; Bacillati; Actinomycetota; Actinomycetes; Propionibacteriales; Propionibacteriaceae.
CGGCGUGCUUAACACAUGCAAGUCGAACGGAAAGGCCCUGCUUUUGUGGGGUGCUCGAGUGGCGAGCGGGUGAGUGACACGUGAGUAACCUGCCCUUGACUUUGGGAUAACUUCAGGAAACUGGCGCUAAUACCGGAUAGGAGCUUCUGCUGCAUGGUGGGGGUUGGAAAGCUUCGGCGGUUGGGGAUGGACUCGCAGCUUAUCAGCUUGUUGGUGGGGUAGUGGCUUACCGAGGCUUUGACGGGUAGCCGGCCUGAGAGGGUGACCGGCCACAUUGGGACUGAGAUACGGCCCAGACUCCUACGGGAGGCAGCAGUGGGGAAUAUUGCACAAUGGGCGGAAGCCUGAUGCAGCAACGCCGCGUGCGGGAUGACGGCCUUCGGGUUGUAAACCGCUUUCGCCUGUGACGAAGCGUGAGUGACGAUAAUGGGUAAAGAAGCACCGGCUAACUACGUGCCAGCAGCCGCGGUGAUACGUAGGGUGCGAGCGUUGUCCGGAUUUAUUGGGCGUAAAGGGCUCGUAGGUGGUUGACCGCGUCGGAAGUGUAAUCUUGGGGCUUAACCCUGAGCGUGCUUUCGAUACGGGUUGACUCGAGGAAGGUAGGGGAGAAUGGAAUUCCUGGUGGAGCGGUGGAAUGCGCAGAUAUCAGGAGGAACGCCAGUGGCGAAGGCGGUUCUCUGGGCCUUUCCUGACCUAGGC